Molecule: long non-coding RNA, 1794 nt
Organism: Artibeus jamaicensis (Jamaican fruit-eating bat)
Lineage: Eukaryota; Metazoa; Chordata; Mammalia; Chiroptera; Phyllostomidae
Exons: 3
Source: RefSeq, a predicted model, not a curated record
GCCCCGCCUGCAUGGCCUCAGUGUGCAGAGACUGUGGGACCAGACAGGGUGCAAACCAGAUGGCUGUGGGAGGGGCCACGGGGCCAAAACAGUGAGUCCGGGAACACGAUGCCCACACACCCAUCACUGGCCAAUUUGGCAUUUACUAAUCACAUCUCAUUCUUGACCUUCUGAACAAAUUAAAUCGAAUUCUCUUUUAGGGAACUGAUAGCCACAGCUAAGAGCAUCACUGGUUUUUCCUGCACCUCUAAUCCUUCAUGACAGAUGUCCCCAGACUGCAAGGCAUGGCCUGAAAAGGAAGCCUGGCCUGGAUGGACCCCAUUCAUUCAUUCAACAACAUCACGCAACGCCAACUAUGGGCCAAGCACUGUGCCAGGCUGUGGGAAGGCAGCAGAGGAAAAAUAGGUCGAGUUCCACACACGCCCUUGCGGAUUCACAUUCAAACAGAGGGGAGAGAGACCCCAGAGAGUAAAGAUAAGUUAUAAAUUCACUGGGAGGUAAUAGUGAUAUGGGGAAUAAAAAGCGUGGAGAGGGUAAGGGGGAGCGGGAGGGGGUGCUGAGGAGGCGUCGCACCAUUGAAUAGGGGGCUCAGGGUAAGCCCCGUUGAAGAGGGGAGCAAGCAAGCAAGCACUUGGAGCAGGUGAGAGUGAGAAAGGUAGUAGCCCUCCUGCUGUGAGCGAAUACUCUUCGGAUAUCUCCUCCGGGACCUUCACAAGGUAGCAAAGAAGAUGUCAUAAAGUCUGGCUUCUUUUCCCAAAAAUGAAUAGAGAAACCAUUCAAUCUUGAGAGGAAAAUAAUUAUUGCAAUGCAGGCUCUACAAGAGCAAGGAUGUCCUUUUCUUUACCACUGGGUGCCUCUGGCCAGACACGCACCAAGUAUCCCACCGGCCACUGUUGAGUGAAUGACUGAGUGAUCACCUGCUGGGUAUAAGUGAGGCAUCAUUCUGGACAGACGAUGCCAGAAAGCGGGGGAGCAACGCCCCCAGGAGGCAGUGCUGACUUCUUCAGUUGUCCCCCAUCUUCCUGCUCUGCUCAGCAGGAGAAAUCGGGGUGCACAGCGUAAAAGUGCAAGUCCCUGGCAGUGGGAAACGGACGCAUCUGGGAAAACUUCUCCAGGUGGCCGCGCCUGUCCUGUGUCAGGGGUAUCAGCAGCUCUGUUCUGUUUAAAUCAAUGUAUUAACCUUGUUAUACAGGACCUGACUUCUGUUCGCCAGAGCCAGGUCCUGCAGGGCACCGGGGAUGUGGUAUGUGGUGGGAGACAGCCUUAAGAUGCUCCACUGGUCCCCACCUCCUGGUAGCUGAUGGUCGGGCUUCGUGUACAUCUUUGCCCUUGAGUCACUCAGUCUCUCUCUGUCUCCAUCCCCCUCCCUCCCCUCCCCCAUGGAGGAAGCAAGUUGGCCUGUCAUGUGUGGCCCUAUGGAGAGGCCUGCCCAGCAAAGAACUGAUGUGUCCAGCUAGUAGUCUGCAAAGGCCUGUGGCUGCCACCAGCCAGGUUUCUCUCCCUCCACCACGGAUGAUUUAUGGAUCAGUGGAGAACAAAUCAGGAGCCGGAACUCAUGUUUGAGCCUCGUCUCCUGGUCCCCCAGUCUAUGGCUGCAAUAAAGGCAUUUUCCAAAUAAACGAUGCUGAGAGCAUUUACCAACUACAAAUCCUCACUAAAUUAUGAAGAAAGCAAAAUCAUGUACAUUUGGAGAGGAAUGAUCAAAGCUCCAACUUCACGUGAAGGGACCAGUCCCUGUCCAGCAAGUGGGCAGUCGCCUCUGUGUGAAGACAAACCCGGGUCCUGUCUAUGAGG